CAAAAACUGUAGUUACAGCACUGUAUCUUCUGAACUGAAUACAUCUCGUAUCAGACUAUAAAAAUUAAAGGAUUGGAGGGACUUUCUUUUUGCGUGUUAUUGAUCUGAUGUGACUUCACCAUCAGCACUGCCUGCCCUAUGGACCAUCUUUGUCUUUUUUCCAUGCUGAUUUAUUGCAACAGAUUUACAGUUGAAAUAUGGAUCCCGCAGACCCCCUCAUGUCAAGAAGGGAAAGUGGAUGCCUGGGAUGCAGGGAGCGGAGGAGGCUGUUUGUGUAUUGGCUGAGCAGCUACAGUGGCUGCAGACAAUCCUUCUGCAGGAGCAGCAGCAGGUGGCAGGCACAGUGGGCCCAGCAGCAUUGGCAGAGAGAUCACUAAUGCCAGCAGGCUACCCUGAGAGUGCUUUCACCCUUGAGGGAAAAUACAGAAAGAGAUGUGCCGUUGGAUGACAAUGCCAAGCUUACUUAGCCAGAAUGGCUGACAUCCAUUUAAACAUCACCUGGACAAGUGCACCAUUCCCAACCUCUACAACCUUGAGGGCUCAGCUAUAUGAAGAAGAGGAGGAUGGUCAUGCUCUCAGUGUCAUUGACAAGACAUGAAACUCUUUGUCACUUUCAGUUUUUCAAGACGGUCACAGGA
Molecule: long non-coding RNA, 638 nt
Organism: Mauremys reevesii (Reeves's turtle)
Lineage: Eukaryota; Metazoa; Chordata; Testudines; Geoemydidae
Exons: 3
Source: RefSeq, a predicted model, not a curated record